Molecule: ribosomal RNA, 200 nt
Filed under: uncultured bacterium
Lineage: Bacteria
Description: partial 16S ribosomal RNA
Rfam family: Bacterial small subunit ribosomal RNA
Source: RNAcentral
UACGGAAGGUCCAAGCGUUAAUCGGAAUUACUGGGCGUAAAGCGCGCGUAGGUGGUUUAUUAAGUUGGAUGUGAAAUCCCCGGGCUCAACCUGGGAACUGCAUCCAAAACUGAUUCACUAGAGUACGAUAGAGGGAGGUAGAAUUCACAGUGUAGCGGUGGAAUGCGUAGAUAUUGUGAAGAAUACCAAUGGCGAAGGCA